AACUAAGGUUGUUCUUCGUAUGAGCUUUUGUGUGCAUGCACACUUCUUCAGAUGCACACUUCUUCAGAUACUGAAGAAGUGUGCAUGCACACAAAAGCUAAUACCAAUAACAAACUUAGUUGG
RNAcentral lists this microRNA precursor (123 nucleotides) under Podarcis lilfordi (Lilford's wall lizard). The record is from RNAcentral. Lineage: Eukaryota; Metazoa; Chordata; Lepidosauria; Squamata; Lacertidae.